Molecule: ribosomal RNA, 777 nt
Filed under: Microbacterium sp. MIDF15
Lineage: Bacteria; Bacillati; Actinomycetota; Actinomycetes; Micrococcales; Microbacteriaceae
Description: bacterial SSU rRNA
Rfam family: Bacterial small subunit ribosomal RNA
Source: RNAcentral
AGUGGCGAACGGGUGAGUAACACGUGAGCAACCUGCCCCUGACUCUGGGAUAAGCGCUGGAAACGGCGUCUAAUACUGGAUACGAGUAGCGACCGCAUGGUCAGCUACUGGAAAGAUUUAUUGGUUGGGGAUGGGCUCGCGGCCUAUCAGCUUGUUGGUGAGGUAAUGGCUCACCAAGGCGUCGACGGGUAGCCGGCCUGAGAGGGUGACCGGCCACACUGGGACUGAGACACGGCCCAGACUCCUACGGGAGGCAGCAGUGGGGAAUAUUGCACAAUGGGCGCAAGCCUGAUGCAGCAACGCCGCGUGAGGGAUGACGGCCUUCGGGUUGUAAACCUCUUUUAGCAGGGAAGAAGCGAAAGUGACGGUACCUGCAGAAAAAGCGCCGGCUAACUACGUGCCAGCAGCCGCGGUAAUACGUAGGGCGCAAGCGUUAUCCGGAAUUAUUGGGCGUAAAGAGCUCGUAGGCGGUUUGUCGCGUCUGCUGUGAAAUCCGGAGGCUCAACCUCCGGCCUGCAGUGGGUACGGGCAGACUAGAGUGCGGUAGGGGAGAUUGGAAUUCCUGGUGUAGCGGUGGAAUGCGCAGAUAUCAGGAGGAACACCGAUGGCGAANGCAGAUCUCUGGGCCGUAACUGACGCUGANGAGCGAAAGGGUGGGGAGCAAACAGGCUUAGAUACCCUGGUAGUCCACCCCGUAAACGUUGGGAACUAGUUGUGGGGUCCAUUCCACGGAUUCCGUGACGCAGCUNACGCAUUAAGUUCCCCGCCUGGGGAGUA